AUGUGUGGACAUGACAAUGAAAUGAUGUUUCACUCGCUUAUGGAGUGUGACCACGCAAAACGUUUUUGGGAAGCAGCUGAGCGCUUCUUUGGUAUUGAUAUACCACGGUUACACCCAUUGUCAUGGUCUCGAGAUCUGUUAGAUCAACGUUUGUUCAAGAAGGAGGUGGCGGCUAUUAUGAUCACUGUGAUGUGGGCUGUGUGGCACUCCAGGAACAGUUAUACUCAUGCUGAGUUAGUAUACCACCCGGUCAAAUCAAUGGUGAUUAUAGAAGAGAUUAUCAGGGUACUGGAAAUCCCUGAGAGGAGGAAGGCCCAAGUUACUACUCCCCGGAGGUGGCUACCACCUGAGGAUGGGUGGAUAAAGGUCAACACCGAUGGAGCUACGGACGCGGGUCUAAUAUGUGGCGGGGCAGGCUUCAUUGCUAGAGAUCAUCAUGGAGCACUCGUUAGAGUGGGAGGAUCACGAUAUGAUGGAGUUACUGAUCCCUUAUCCAUUGAACUACUUGCAUGCAGAGACGCGAUCCUAAUGGCACGAGACAUGGGCUUGCAGCAGGUGGUGUUGGAGACAGAUUGUUAG
RNAcentral lists this ribosomal RNA (579 nucleotides) under Triticum aestivum (bread wheat). RNAcentral's name for it is "partial small subunit ribosomal RNA". The record is from RNAcentral. Lineage: Eukaryota; Viridiplantae; Streptophyta; Magnoliopsida; Poales; Poaceae.